RNAcentral lists this long non-coding RNA (495 nucleotides) under Actinidia chinensis (golden kiwifruit). RNAcentral's name for it is "long non-coding RNA (ACHI_LNC003631)". The record is from RNAcentral. Lineage: Eukaryota; Viridiplantae; Streptophyta; Magnoliopsida; Ericales; Actinidiaceae.
CCAAGAGUAGAUGAUAUAUGCCCAUAUUAAAUCAAUGGCAUGCAACUCUAAGGAGGUUAGGUAAUUAAUUAUAGUACACAUAUUUCUCAAGCUAAGCACAUGGAUGAUAGUUAAAGCAUGACAAACAAAUAUUUCCCCACACCUCAUUAGGCAUAAUAAUAAUUAAAAAAAUGCAACCAAUGAAUAUUGUGUGUGUAGCAAGUUCUACUCAUCCUAGUAAUAUCCUUUAUUUAUGCAUUUCUUCAGUUGUAGUAGAUACGCUAUCGAUGGAAUGAGUUAAGUCUUAGAAAUGUUCAUAGUAAAACACACUUGUAUAUAAAUCUUCCUGAACUGAGCAUUAGUCACAUAAGCAUCUCGCACGUGCAAGAAUAAGUAAAUACCACUCAGUCAAUAACCAUUUUUGAAAACGGAGGGUUGUGGCUUAUUUAUUUCUCACUUUUUUCUGUACUUUUCCUUUUUUCAUAACUGAAAACUUUCAGAGUCAAGAGACAGGAA